Long non-coding RNA from Oncorhynchus keta (chum salmon), 356 nucleotides. RefSeq lists it as uncharacterized. The record is from RefSeq and is a predicted model, not a curated record. NCBI's taxonomy places the organism in Eukaryota, Metazoa, Chordata, Actinopteri, Salmoniformes, Salmonidae. The transcript is spliced from 3 exons.
GGCAGGUCCUACAGGCCCUAGUUUCUACCUUCUUAACAACACUAUCAACAAGGCAGGUCCUACAGGCCCUGGUUUCUACCUUCUUAACAACACUAUCAACAAGGCAGGUCCUACAGGCCCUAGUUUCUACCUUCUUAACAACACUAUCGACAAGGCAGGUCCUACAGGCCCUAGUUUCUACCUUCUUAACAACACUAUCAACAAGGCAGGUCCUACAGGCCCUAGUUUCUACCUUCUUAACAACACUAUCAACAAGGCAGGUCCUACAGGCCCUAGUUUCUACCUUCUUAACAACACUAUCGACAAGGCAGGUCCUACAGGCCCUAGUUUCUACCUUCUUAACAACACUAUCAACA